GUAGCGCAAUGGAUAUCGCUUUGGACUUCUAAUCCAAAGGUCGUGGGUUCGAAUCCCACCUUAAUUCA
This 68-nucleotide transfer RNA is filed under the name Trichonephila inaurata madagascariensis. RNAcentral's name for it is "tRNA-Arg". It matches the Rfam family "tRNA". Rfam says of the family: Transfer RNA (tRNA) molecules are approximately 80 nucleotides in length. Their secondary structure includes four short double-helical elements and three loops (D, anti-codon, and T loops). Further hydrogen bonds mediate the characteristic L-shaped molecular structure. tRNAs have two regions of fundamental functional importance: the anti-codon, which is responsible for specific mRNA codon recognition, and the 3' end, to which the tRNAs corresponding amino acid is attached (by aminoacyl-tRNA synthetases). tRNAs cope with the degeneracy of the genetic code in two manners: having more than one tRNA (with a specific anti-codon) for a particular amino acid; and 'wobble' base-pairing, i.e. permitting non-standard base-pairing at the 3rd anti-codon position. Lineage: Eukaryota; Metazoa; Arthropoda; Arachnida; Araneae; Nephilidae. The record is from RNAcentral.